Molecule: ribosomal RNA, 1341 nt
Filed under: uncultured bacterium
Lineage: Bacteria
Description: 16S ribosomal RNA
Rfam family: Bacterial small subunit ribosomal RNA
Source: RNAcentral
GACGAACGCUGGCGGCGUGCUUAACACAUGCAAGUCGAACGGUAAGGCUCCAGCUUGCUGGGGUACACGAGUGGCGAACGGGUGAGUAACACGUGGGUGACCUGCCCUGCACUUCGGGAUAAGCCUGGGAAACUGGGUCUAAUACCGGAUAGGACCGCACCGUGAGGGUGUGGUGGAAAGUUUUUUCGGUGUGGGAUGGGCCCGCGGCCUAUCAGCUUGUUGGUGGGGUAAUGGCCUACCAAGGCGGCGACGGGUAGCCGGCCUGAGAGGGUGGACGGCCACAUUGGGACUGAGACACGGCCCAGACUCCUACGGGAGGCAGCAGUGGGGAAUAUUGCACAAUGGGCGGAAGCCUGAUGCAGCGACGUCGCGUGGGGGAUGACGGCCUUCGGGUUGUAAACUCCUUUCACCAUCGACGAAGGGUUUCUGACGGUAGAUGGAGAAGAAGCACCGGCUAACUACGUGCCAGCAGCCGCGGUAAUACGUAGGGUGCGAGUGUUGUCCGGAAUUACUGGGCGUAAAGAGCUCGUAGGUGGUUUGUCGCGUCGUCUGUGAAAUUCCGGGGCUUAACUCCGGGCGUGCAGGCGAUACGGGCAUAACUUGAGUACUGUAGGGGAGACUGGAAUUCCUGGUGUAGCGGUGAAAUGCGCAGAUAUCAGGAGGAACACCGGUGGCGAAGGCGGGUCUCUGGGCAGUAACUGACGCUGAGGAGCGAAAGCAUGGGGAGCGAACAGGAUUAGAUACCCUGGUAGUCCAUGCCGUAAACGGUGGGCGCUAGGUGUGGGUUUCCUUCCACGGGAUCCGUGCCGUAGCUAACGCAUUAAGCGCCCCGCCUGGGGAGUACGGCCGCAAGGCUAAAACUCAAAGGAAUUGACGGGGGCCCGCACAAGCGGCGGAGCAUGUGGAUUAAUUCGAUGCAACGCGAAGAACCUUACCUGGGCUUGACAUAUACAGGAUCGCGCCAGAGAUGGUGUUUCCCUUGUGGCUUGUAUACAGGUGGUGCAUGGUUGUCGUCAGCUCGUGUCGUGAGAUGUUGGGUUAAGUCCCGCAACGAGCGCAACCCUUGUCUUAUGUUGCCAGCACGUUGUGGUGGGGACUCGUAAGAAACUGCCGGGGUUAACUCGGAGGAAGGUGGGGAUGACGUCAAAUCAUCAUGCCCCUUAUGUCCAGGGCUUCACACAUGCUACAAUGGUCGGUACAGUGGGUUGCCAGUCCGUGAGGGCGAGCUAAUCCCGCAAAGCCGGUCUCAGUUCGGAUCGGGGUCUGCAACUCGACCCCGUGAAGUCGGAGUCGCUAGUAAUCGCAGAUCAGCAACGCUGCGGUGAAUACGUUCCCGGGCCU